GAGUUUGAUCGUGGCUCAGAGUGAACGCUGGCGGUAGGCCUAACACAUGCAAGUCGAACGGUAACAGGUCUUUCGGGAUGCUGACGAGUGGCGAACGGGUGAGGAAUACAUCGGAAUCUGCUCAGUCGUGGGGGAUAACGCAUGGAAACGUGCGCUAAUACCGCAUACGACCUUCGGGUGAAAGCAGGGGAAUCUCUCGGGAUCCUUGCGCGAUUGAAUGAGCCGAUGUCGGAUUAGCUAGUUGGUAGGGUAAAAGCCUACCAAGGCCACGAUCCGUAGCUGGUCUGAGAGGAUGAUCAGCCACACUGGGACUGAGGCACGGCCCAGACUCCUGCGGGAGGCAGCAGUGGGGAAUAUUGGACAAUGGGGGCAACCCUGAUCCAGCCAUACCGCGUGGGUGAAGAAGGCCUUCUGGGUUGUAAAGCCCUUUUGUUGGGGAAGAAAAACAACGGGUUAAUACCCCGUUGGUAUGACGGUACCCAAAGAAUAAGCACCGGCUAACUUCGUGCCAGCAGCCGCGGUAAUACGAAGGGUGCAAGCGUUACUCGGAAUUACUGGGCGUAAAGGGUGCGUAGGUGGUUGCGCCAGUCUGUCGUGAAAGCCCUGGGCUUAACCUGGGAAUGGCGAUGGAAACUGUGCAACUAGAGUGUGACAGAGGGUGGUGGAAUUCCUGGUGUAGCAGUGAAAUGCGUAGGGAUCAGGAGGAACAUUCGUGGCGAAGGCGGCCACCUGGGUCAACACUGACACUGAGGCACGAAAGCGUGGGGAGCAAACAGGAUUAGAUACCCUGGUAGUCCACGCCCUAAACGAUGCGAACUGGAUGUUGGGUCCAACUUGGGAUUCAGUAUCGAAGCUAACGCGUUAAGUUCGCCGCCUGGGGAGUACGGUCGCAAGACUGAAACUCAAAGGAAUUGACGGGGGCCCGCACAAGCGGUGGAGUAUGUGGUUUAAUUCGAUGCAACGCGCAGAACCUUACCUGGCCUUGACAUGCACGGAACCUUUG
This 1003-nucleotide ribosomal RNA is filed under the name uncultured Lysobacterales bacterium. RNAcentral's name for it is "bacterial SSU rRNA". It matches the Rfam family "Bacterial small subunit ribosomal RNA", at positions 9 to 1001 of the family's 1533-position model. Lineage: Bacteria; Pseudomonadati; Pseudomonadota; Gammaproteobacteria; Lysobacterales. The record is from RNAcentral.